RNAcentral lists this ribosomal RNA (556 nucleotides) under uncultured bacterium. Its description in RNAcentral is "partial 16S ribosomal RNA". It matches the Rfam family "Bacterial small subunit ribosomal RNA", at positions 355 to 902 of the family's 1533-position model. The record is from RNAcentral.
UGGGGAAUUUUGGACAAUGGGCGCAAGCCUGAUCCAGCCAUGCCGCGUGCGGGAAGAAGGCCUUCGGGUUGUAAACCGCUUUUGUCAGGGAAGAAAUCUUCUGAGUUAAUACCUCGGGAGGAUGACGGUACCUGAAGAAUAAGCACCGGCUAACUACGUGCCAGCAGCCGCGGUAGUACGUAGAGUGCAAGCGUUAAUCGGAAUUACUGGGCGUAAAGCGUGCGCAGGCGGUUUUGUAAGACAGAGGUGAAAUCCCCGGGCUCAACCUGGGAACUGCCUUUGUGACUGCAAGGCUUGAGUGCGGCAGAGGGGGGAUGGAAUUCCGCGUGUAGCAGUGAAAUGCGUAGAUAUGCGGAGGAACACCGAUGGCGAAGGCAAUCCCCUGGGCCUGCACUGACGCUCAUGCACGAAAGCGUGGGGAGCAAACAGGAUUAGAUACCCUGGUAGUCCACGCCCUAAACGAUGUCAACUGGUUGUUGGGAAGGUUCCUUCUCAGUAACGUAGCUAACGCGUGAAGUUGACCGCCUGGGGAGUACGGCCGCAAGGUUGAAAACUC